GAUGAACGCUAGCGGCAGGCCUAACACAUGCAAGUCGAGGGAGAGGUUACCUUCGGGUCACCAAAACCGGCGCACGGGUGCGUAACGCGUAUACAAUCUGCCUUUCACAUAGGGAUAGCCCGAAGAAAUUUGGAUUAAUACCUAAUGGUAUAUAAAAGCUGCAUCGUUUUUAUAUUAAAGCUACGGUAGUGAAUGAUGAGUAUGCGGUCUAUUAGCUAGUUGGAGAGGUAACGGCUCCCCAAGGCGACGAUAGAUAGGGGUUCUGAGAGGGAUGUCCCCGACACUGGUACUGAGAUACGGACCAGACUCCUACGGGAGGCAGCAGUGAGGAAGAUUGGACAAUGGUAGGAAGACUGAUCCAGCCAUGCCGCGUGCAGGAUGAAGGUCCUAUGGAUGGUAAACUGCUUUUGUAAGGGAAGAAUAAGAGCUACGUGUAGUUUGAUGACGGUACCUUACGAAUAAGCAUCGGCUAACUCCGUG
RNAcentral lists this ribosomal RNA (480 nucleotides) under uncultured bacterium. Its description in RNAcentral is "partial 16S ribosomal RNA". It matches the Rfam family "Bacterial small subunit ribosomal RNA", at positions 28 to 507 of the family's 1533-position model. The record is from RNAcentral.